Molecule: transfer RNA, 111 nt
Filed under: Scleropages formosus (Asian bonytongue)
Lineage: Eukaryota; Metazoa; Chordata; Actinopteri; Osteoglossiformes; Osteoglossidae
Rfam family: tRNA
About the family: Transfer RNA (tRNA) molecules are approximately 80 nucleotides in length. Their secondary structure includes four short double-helical elements and three loops (D, anti-codon, and T loops). Further hydrogen bonds mediate the characteristic L-shaped molecular structure. tRNAs have two regions of fundamental functional importance: the anti-codon, which is responsible for specific mRNA codon recognition, and the 3' end, to which the tRNAs corresponding amino acid is attached (by aminoacyl-tRNA synthetases). tRNAs cope with the degeneracy of the genetic code in two manners: having more than one tRNA (with a specific anti-codon) for a particular amino acid; and 'wobble' base-pairing, i.e. permitting non-standard base-pairing at the 3rd anti-codon position.
Source: Rfam by way of RNAcentral
GUCAGGAUGGCCGAGUGGUCUAAGGCGCCAGACUCAAGGUUAGUAACCUUCCCCUGUUGUGAGUGUUCUGGUCUCCAAAUGGAGGCGUGGGUUUGAAUCCCACUUCUGACA